This 424-nucleotide ribosomal RNA is filed under the name uncultured bacterium. Its description in RNAcentral is "bacterial SSU rRNA". It matches the Rfam family "Bacterial small subunit ribosomal RNA", at positions 355 to 776 of the family's 1533-position model. The record is from RNAcentral. RNAcentral also lists the same sequence under 1 other name.
UGAGGAAUAUUGGUCAAUGGACGCAAGUCUGAACCAGCCAUGCCGCGUGCAGGAUGACGGCUCUAUGAGUUGUAAACUGCUUUUGUACGAGGGUAAACUCACCUACGUGUAGGUGACUGAAAGUAUCGUACGAAUAAGGAUCGGCUAACUCCGUGCCAGCAGCCGCGGUAAUACGGAGGAUUCAAGCGUUAUCCGGAUUUAUUGGGUUUAAAGGGUGCGUAGGCGGUUAGAUAAGUUAGAGGUGAAAUCCCGGGGCUUAACUCCGAAAUUGCCUCUAAUACUGUUUGACUAGAGAGUAGUUGCGGUAGGCGGAAUGUAUGGUGUAGCGGUGAAAUGCUUAGAGAUCAUACAGAACACCGAUUGCGAAGGCAGCUUACCAAACUAUAUCUGACGUUGAGGCACGAAAGCGUGGGGAGCAAACAGG